Molecule: ribosomal RNA, 201 nt
Filed under: uncultured Desulfatiferula sp.
Lineage: Bacteria; Pseudomonadati; Thermodesulfobacteriota; Desulfobacteria; Desulfobacterales; Desulfobacteraceae
Description: partial 16S ribosomal RNA
Rfam family: Bacterial small subunit ribosomal RNA
Source: RNAcentral
ACGUCAAGUCCUCAUGGCCUUAUGUCCAGGGCUACACACGUGCUACAAUGGUAUAUACAAAGGGUCGCAACCUCGCGAGAAGUGAGCCAAUCCCAUAAAGUAUACCUCAGUUCGGAUAGGAGUCUGCAACUCGACUCCUUGAAGUUGGAAUCGCUAGUAAUCGCGGAUCAGCAUGCCGCGGUGAAUACGUUCCCGGGCCUU